Non-coding RNA from Callithrix jacchus (white-tufted-ear marmoset), 383 nucleotides. NCBI's taxonomy places the organism in Eukaryota, Metazoa, Chordata, Mammalia, Primates, Cebidae. The record is from RefSeq and is a predicted model, not a curated record.
UUUGCUGUAGGCCCGAGUGGGUGCUGCCGAAAUGGGCAAAUUCAUGGAACCUAGGAAGGUGGUGCUUGUCCUGGCUGGAUGCUACUCUGGACGCAAAGCUGUCAUAGUGAAGAACAUUGAUGAUGGCACCUCAGAUCGCCCCUGCAGUCAUGCUUUGGUGGCUGGAAUUGACUGCUAUCCCCACAAAGUGACAGCUACCAUGGGCAAGAAGAAGAUCGCCAAGAGGUCAAAGAUCAAGUCUUUUAGGAAAGUUUAAAACUACAAUCACCUGAUGCCCACAAGGCACUCUGUGGACAUCCCUUUGCACAAAGGCCAAGGUCAAGUUUGAGGAGAGAUACAGGACAGGUAAGAACAAGUGGUUCUUUCAGAAGCUGCAGUCUUAG